Molecule: RNA transcript, 3039 nt
Organism: Dalotia coriaria
Lineage: Eukaryota; Metazoa; Arthropoda; Insecta; Coleoptera; Staphylinidae
Exons: 6
Source: RefSeq, a predicted model, not a curated record
UCCGUGUUAUCGGUAAUUUGUAUUUGGCAAUCCGUGUCUCAUAUUUUUAUAAAUUAAUUUCCAGAAAUUUAUAAGUUCUGUUUACCUUAGAUUAGUGUUAUCUAUGUUGUCGCUGAGUUUAUAGCUUUAUCUGUACAGUCUACAAUUCAUUUGUAUACGAGAUUGACUAGUAAAUCUCUUUUUAGCGUUUUAGUGUUUUUGUCAAUUUUGACAAUUAGUGUUUUGAAAGUAUUUAUAUUCCAUAACAAAAUGAAAAUAGGAGGCGUUUUUGCGCUAUUUUUGGAAAUAACCCUCGUAUCUACACAGAACAAUGCAGAAACUGAUUUAAUACGCCCGCUUAAUGGCAUAUUUCAAUACAAGCAAUUAACGAGUCGAGAAAUUUUUCUUUGGGAUUCGGAAACCGUUCUAAUAACACAGUUGUUAUACUAUAAUGAAAAGAUGACGAAUCGAGAGAAGUUAUGUUUCAUUGGAAUUGAUCCUGCCACACCCAAGGAUUUGUUUGUUCACUUGCAAUUUGAUAAUGGAAAUACGGCCUGCAUCAAUGAGAUGGUUUACCGAGGCCGACAAAUAAUUUUGAAGACUCCGUCAACAUUUUAUUUCACAGAUUUUCAAAGCAUUGGGAUUAUUAACGACACCAGCAAUAUAGUAUCUCAAGUUUUAAUAGAUCAAAAUGCUGUGUAUUUUACAGAGGAAACAAACUAUUUGGGUCAGUUUUUAGCAUAUCCUAAAUGCUGUCCAUUAGAUGAAUAUAAUGAAGAAAAUUCAUGCAAAAAAAUGAGCGAAGAGCAACGGACCAAAGCAGAAAAUAUUCAGAUAUAUACUUUGCAUGAGACUGAAAAUAGUAGUAAAAUGAAAUAUGACAACAAUGAAAAUUUUACCUACGCCCGUAUACCAUUCUAUUCUCCUUCGUCGGAAAAUCUAUAUUCACUGGAUAGAGAUGAGUAUAUAUUAACCAAUACCUUAGAACUAUUUGUUGACAACUACAUAUGGGGACCGAUCGAGUGCAUUGAUUAUACCUAUAAUGAAAUUUCGACCACAUUGCAAGAGACUGUUUUUAUGAAGUUGCGUGAUAAUAAAUCAGUUUCGUUGAACCCGGUCACACCGAUUUUGCUAGUAUUAUUUAUAUUAAUUUUACAUGGAUCUAUUAGUAUUAAGGUGCAGUGAGAAAUAAAAUAAAUGUAAAAAUAAUAAUAGAGUUUCAGCAAAUGUGAAAUGUUUGAAUUACCGUUUGCGUCUUUAGCUUCGAGUCCUUCGGCGUCCAGGACCACAACGCUGAGCACAACGAUAGGCGGCUUUUCCUCUCCUGCCAGGUGCAACAUGCGAUAGUGUCGAUCAGGUGGCACGUCGAAUGCCUGCUGGCCAUACAAAUAAAGGUCCUCCUUGUAAUGAGCGUAUUGUCCCCCAGGCGCUGGUGCCCCUACCUGAAUUGCAAGGAAAAGUUCAAUAUCGAUAUUAUGAGGCGGGUCGGAUAGUUCCGACAACCCACGCGAAUGAGUAAGGGUCAAUUUGUGCUUUUAUGAGUACUGUCUACCACCCGCAAAGUGCUUAUUCCUAAGAGAGGAAAAGAGGAGGCGAAGCUAACGCUCACCGUGUUGGCAAUCGUGUACAACAUUUCAAUGUAGAGUUUUUCGCGCUCUGUUUGAGAGAGGCAGCAGUCAAUGGGCGUGAUGCCAAAUUCGGAUUCCAUCACGUGCGCCUCCAUCGCCGCUUUCUCUGCCAUUUUUUUAAUAGCUUGCCGUUGAUUCUCCUGCUUCCAGGAGAGUGCUGUGAAGCUCUCAAAGUACGAGCUGUCUACUUCUUGGACUCUGUUAAAGCAAUAAAAAUACAACUUUGCCGACCGUGUACCGAACCUUGUAUCAAGUGUGUCUUGCUGGCAAGAACUCACCCAGAAACCACCUGAUGAUCGAUAUCCGGCCACGAUAAACGGCGGCAGCAGAAUGUGCGUUUUAGAUGGUCGGGCGUGGCCUUUGGCGAUUUCUGUCUGAAAGACGCUGUCCGCCUCACUGGGGGUGCCGGUACGAGACUAUCCAACGUGCUGCGACGACUUUGUACAAGUGGACUGGCACCCGGGGCCGGCAAAACUUUUGGAAACCCCGGUGUGUUGCUGUCUCCAGAAGAACUGCGUACUGUAGAUGGUGUUGGUGACUCUGCUCCAGAGCCACUACCGCUGCCAGUGUCGUUUCUACUUAAAGAAAAUCUGCGUGUGUGGAAAUUGAUUCCCGGCAGAGCACCGAAUUAGAAUGAAUGAUACUACUGCUACAUUUAACCACAAAUAUCUCACAGAAACAACAGGCAACCGCACAACGUAUUCAUGAAUGAUGACAAGUUUCUUCAUAAAGUGAUCUUUCUGCUUACCUCUUGGGACUUAGAGUUAAUCCAGCGACGCUGUUGCUCACGUACUCUUGCAACGAACUAAAGAAACUCAUCUUGGUCUUUUACCUCAAACGGUUCUUGUGAAAAAUAUUAAGAAUUCUGCAACAUAAAAGAGCAAACACUAAAUGAGACUCAUUAUUGUUAAUGCGUGGUACUUGAGAAAAUUUAAUGCUCCUAUCAAAUUUUAAGAGCGUUUAAAUUUAGUUCAUGUCUCCUCGAAGACCACAUACAUCGUUGACAUGACUUUCGGUCGAACGCCAGAGCAUCGAAGCAUUAUAUCGUAUAAUAACUUUCAACAAGCUUCCCAAAGGACUCCGAGGAAGUGCGACCUUAGCAAGGCCUAUAAGCGAGAAUACACCGAGUGACAACAAUAAAAUCCCUGGAGUAGUCGCCAAAUCCGACGAGUUACGGCCGAAAUUAUGGUCAUGAAUAUAAACGAGAAUGUUAGUCACAGCGUGGAUGUAUGAAGACUUAACGUGCAUGCAAAAGAAUGAAAGAAUAUUGUUGGAAUGGGAUCGUGUAUUGAGUAUGAGGGUCCGUCGUUUGUUUGCGCCGGUCGUUUAGGACUCAUUACACACAAACACCAUUAGGCGACGGGGCAAAUGUUGCAAAAGCUAAUAUUGUAGGCACUAACGUAAAUGGAGAAUAGCGUCAGAUAAAAAUAAA